GACGAACGCUGGCGGCGUGCUUAACACAUGCAAGUCGAACGGAAAGGCCCUGCUUUUGUGGGGUGCUCGAGUGGCGAACGGGUGAGUAACACGUGAGUAACCUGCCCUUGACUUUGGGAUAACUUCAGGAAACUGGGGCUAAUACCGGAUAGGAGCUCCUGCUGCAUGGUGGUGGUUGGAAAGUUUCGGCGGUUGGGGAUGGACGCGCGGCUUAUCAGCUUGGUGGUGGGGUAGUGGCUUACCAAGGCUUUGACGGGUAGCCGGCCUGAGAGGGUGGCCGGCCACAUUGGGCCUGAGAUACGGCCCAGACUCCUACGGGAGGCAGUGGUGGGGAAUAUUGCACAAUGGGCGGAAGCCUGAUGCAGCAACGCCGCGUGCGGGAUGACGGCCUUCGGGUUGUAAACCGCUUUCGCCUGUGACGAAGCGUGAGUGACGGUAAUGGGUAAAGAAGCACCGGCUAACUACGUG
RNAcentral lists this ribosomal RNA (468 nucleotides) under uncultured bacterium. RNAcentral describes it as "partial 16S ribosomal RNA". It matches the Rfam family "Bacterial small subunit ribosomal RNA", at positions 28 to 507 of the family's 1533-position model. The record is from RNAcentral.